UACGUAGGGCGCAAGCGUUGUCCGGAAUUAUUGGGCGUAAAGAGCUCGUAGGCGGCUUGUCACGUCGGGUGUGAAAGCCCGGGGCUUAACCCCGGGUCUGCAUUCGAUACGGGCAGGCUAGAGUGUGGUAGGGGAGAUCGGAAUUCCUGGUGUAGCGGUGAAAUGCGCAGAUAUCAGGAGGAACACCGGUGGCGAAGGCGGAUCUCUGGGCCAUUACUGACGCUGAGGAGCGAAAGCUAGGGGAGCAAAUGGG
RNAcentral lists this ribosomal RNA (253 nucleotides) under uncultured bacterium. RNAcentral describes it as "partial 16S ribosomal RNA". It matches the Rfam family "Bacterial small subunit ribosomal RNA", at positions 524 to 776 of the family's 1533-position model. The record is from RNAcentral.